GAUGAACGCUAGCUACAGGCUUAACACAUGCAAGUCGAGGGACCGGCGCACGGGUGAGUAACACGUAUCCAACCUGCCCUUUACUCGGGGAUAGCCUUUCGAAAGAAAGAUUAAUACCCGAUAUAAAGGAUGGGGAUGCGUUCCAUUAGGUUGUGGGUAAGGUAACGGCUCACCAAGCCUUCGAUGGAUAGGGGUUCUGAGAGGAAGGUCCCCCACAUUGGAACUGAGGCGCGGUCCAAACACCUACGGGAGGCAGCAGUGAGGAAUAUUGGUCGAUGGGCGCUAGCCUGAACCAGCCGAGUAGCGUGAAGGAUGAAGGCUUAUGGGACGUAAACUUCUUUUGUAUAAGAAUAUGUAUUAUAUGAAUAAGGAUCGGCUAACGCCGUGCCAGCAGCCGCGGUAAUUC
This 406-nucleotide ribosomal RNA is filed under the name uncultured bacterium. RNAcentral's name for it is "partial 16S ribosomal RNA". It matches the Rfam family "Bacterial small subunit ribosomal RNA", at positions 28 to 526 of the family's 1533-position model. The record is from RNAcentral.